RNAcentral lists this ribosomal RNA (690 nucleotides) under Microbacterium esteraromaticum. RNAcentral's name for it is "bacterial SSU rRNA". It matches the Rfam family "Bacterial small subunit ribosomal RNA", at positions 61 to 764 of the family's 1533-position model. The record is from RNAcentral. Lineage: Bacteria; Bacillati; Actinomycetota; Actinomycetes; Micrococcales; Microbacteriaceae.
GCCGAACGAUGAAGCCAGCUUGCUGGGUGGAUUAGUGGCGAACGGGUGAGUAACACGUGAGCAACCUGCCCCUGACUCUGGGAUAAGCGCUGGAAACGGCGUCUAAUACUGGAUAUGUCCCAUCACCGCAUGGUGUGUGGGUGGAAAGAUUUUUCGGUUGGGGAUGGGCUCGCGGCCUAUCAGCUUGUUGGUGAGGUAAUGGCUCACCAAGGCGUCGACGGGUAGCCGGCCUGAGAGGGUGACCGGCCACACUGGGACUGAGACACGGCCCAGACUCCUACGGGAGGCAGCAGUGGGGAAUAUUGCACAAUGGGCGGAAGCCUGAUGCAGCAACGCCGCGUGAGGGAUGACGGCCUUCGGGUUGUAAACCUCUUUUAGCAGGGAAGAAGCGAGAGUGACGGUACCUGCAGAAAAAGCACCGGCUAACUACGUGCCAGCAGCCGCGGUAAUACGUAGGGUGCAAGCGUUAUCCGGAAUUAUUGGGCGUAAAGAGCUCGUAGGCGGUCUGUCGCGUCUGCUGUGAAAUUCCGAGGCUCAACCUCGGGCUUGCAGUGGGUACGGGCAGACUAGAGUGCGGUAGGGGAGAUUGGAAUUCCUGGUGUAGCGGUGGAAUGCGCAGAUAUCAGGAGGAACACCGAUGGCGAAGGCAGAUCUCUGGGCCGUAACUGACGCUGAGGAGCGAAAGCGUGG